Xyrauchen texanus (razorback sucker) is the source of this 440-nucleotide long non-coding RNA. RefSeq lists it as uncharacterized. The transcript is spliced from 3 exons. Lineage: Eukaryota; Metazoa; Chordata; Actinopteri; Cypriniformes; Catostomidae. The record is from RefSeq and is a predicted model, not a curated record.
GUGAGUGAGUGAGUGAGUAUGGUUGAGUGGGGUAGGCAGACAGUGGUGGAGAGAGAGCCAGAGCUCCAGUGAGUGAGUGAGUGUGUGAGUGUGGUCGAGUGAGGUGGGCAGACAGUGGUGGAGAGAGAGAGCCAGAGCUCCAGUGAGUGAGUGAGUAUGGUCGAGUGAGGUAGGCAGACAGCAGUGGAGAGAGAGAGAGAGCCAGAGCUCCAGUGAGUGAGUGAGUGUGGUCGACUGAGGUAGGCAGACAGUGGUGGAGAGAGAGAGAAAGUUCCAAUGAAUGAGUGAGUGAGUGUGGUCGAGUGAGGUAGACAGACAGCAGUGGAGAGAAAGAGCCAGAGCUCCAGUGAGUGAGUGAGUGUGGUGGAGAGAGAGAGCCAGAGCUCCAGUGAGUGAGUGAGUAUGGUCGAGUGAGGUAGGCAGACAGCAGUGGAGAGAAA